This is a long non-coding RNA of Acanthopagrus latus (yellowfin seabream), 1307 nucleotides long. RefSeq lists it as uncharacterized. Lineage: Eukaryota; Metazoa; Chordata; Actinopteri; Spariformes; Sparidae. The record is from RefSeq and is a predicted model, not a curated record. The transcript is spliced from 4 exons.
GCUUGGAUGUGUUUCAGUCCAGAUGUUCCCACACAUCAGGACCAUUACAGCUGUCUGAUGGCCACCUGAGGCACCGACACUGUGCCCGCCUGGUUAACAGGCUGACUCCUCUGAACACAAGAUCAUUAGCCAGCUCUCUGCCCUGACAGGAUAACAAAAGGAUUUACAUUAACCUGCGUGCAGAAGCCGUAGGGGUCAUUUGAUUAACAGCAGCAGGUCUGUUAUCAGACACCUCUGAGAACAAACUAGUCACUGAGUCAGUCUGCAGGGAGACAUUUGUGAAAGGCUGCAUGUUAUCUGGUGAUGGACGGAGGGACAGAAAAAAAACACCUUGCUCCAUUAUCGGACACGCUCUCAAUGACAGGUGCGGUGAAGGAGAGAGAAGAGGUCCUCCUUCAUUCUCAGGUCACACAAACAGGAUGUGGACAACAAGUAAACGCCAGCAGCCAUCACAUGAUGCAUAUUCAACGUCUGUCAGUGAGAUGUGAGUCGUGACUGAGGGGGGAUCUGACUUGGCAAAGACUGCCUCUGUCACCACACAACACAAAAGGCAGUGAAGGAGAGAGACAGAGAGCACCGAGUGCAUGUACAGACAAAUACAGCCUGCAAAUGCAAGCAAGAUGGGAGAAAUAAGAGUCAAAAUGAAAAUGAGGAGGUAAUGGAGGAGGAAGUCAGAGAGGACAGGCCUGAGGAGAAGAGGUUAACGAACGGCGCUAAGAGGAGGAGGCAGGCGUCAUGGAUCAUUUGGAGUCCUGGUCCAUUUCAGGCUCUAAAGAGAAAACAAGUAACAAAUUUUUCUCACCAGUAAAGGUGAACUCAGGGAAGCUGCUAAGAUCUCCUCCUCCAUAAAGUCUCUGGAGCUUUGCGGUUUCCUGUGACAGGUGUUUUUCGUAAUCUGGCUCCGCCUCCAAAGGUUCUCUGUUUAUCCUUAGAGAAGAAAAGGUGAUAUGAGUUGGGGGGGAUUAAAAGAGAAAUCAUUGUCAUUCAGUAGAUGUCCCCAUGACAUUUUAUCUCAGCAUCACAGUUUACAACCAGUACCAGUAUAACCUGAGGGUUUGUUUGUUUCUGUCAUAGGUCAGGGUGCCCAUUAUGCAACUGCAGCUGUUCUUUUCACAGCUACUGUAUAUGUAGAUAGUGUGGAUAGAUUCUCUACUGAAUCUGUACAGAACCAGGAAAUCUCUUGUGUUACAUUAUCUCUGUUACAAGCCAGAUCUGCCUUCAGCAAAACAUAAAUAAGGAACAAGGCCACAUGAGUCUGCUUUUAAUAUCUGCAUUCAACACAAUAAAAUGUAACCUGAAGGACGUGA